This 438-nucleotide ribosomal RNA is filed under the name Salmonella enterica. RNAcentral's name for it is "bacterial SSU rRNA". It matches the Rfam family "Bacterial small subunit ribosomal RNA", at positions 1 to 435 of the family's 1533-position model. RNAcentral also lists the same sequence under 1 other name. The record is from RNAcentral. Lineage: Bacteria; Pseudomonadati; Pseudomonadota; Gammaproteobacteria; Enterobacterales; Enterobacteriaceae.
AAAUUGAAGAGUUUGAUCAUGGCUCAGAUUGAACGCUGGCGGCAGGCCUAACACAUGCAAGUCGAACGGUAACGGGAAGCAGCUUGCUGCUUCGCUGACGAGUGGCGGACGGGUGAGUAAUGUCUGGGAAACUGCCUGAUGGAGGGGGAUAACUACUGGAAACGGUGGCUAAUACCGCAUAACGUCGCAAGACCAAAGAGGGGGACCUUCGGGCCUCUUGCCAUCAGAUGUGCCCAGAUGGGAUUAGCUUGUUGGUGAGGUAACGGCUCACCAAGGCGACGAUCCCUAGCUGGUCUGAGAGGAUGACCAGCCACACUGGAACUGAGACACGGUCCAGACUCCUACGGGAGGCAGCAGUGGGGAAUAUUGCACAAUGGGCGCAAGCCUGAUGCAGCCAUGCCGCGUGUAUGAAGAAGGCCUUCGGGUUGUAAAGUACUU